This 63-nucleotide transfer RNA is filed under the name Opilio parietinus. RNAcentral's name for it is "tRNA-Pro". Lineage: Eukaryota; Metazoa; Arthropoda; Arachnida; Opiliones; Phalangiidae. The record is from RNAcentral.
UAAGAGGUAGUUAAAUAAAUAAUAUUAGUUUUGGGAAUUAAAGUAGCUUUUUGGCCUUCUUAA